UUCUGGAUCAAAGCAGACAUGCGGCCGGCGCUCUGCGAUCCAAGGCACACUGGGGUCUUUCAUCCGGUGUUUUUAAAAAGGAGGAAACAAAAGGCUCAGAGGCAGGGCCCCAGGUGCGCUCGCCCGCGGGGGCUGCGGCGCGGACGACCGAAGAAAACCACGACUUCCUGGAAAAGUCUUCACCGUAAAUAUUAAUCUCUUUGGCAUGAAGAGGAAAACACUGCAGCUAAUUUUUCAUGGGAUAACAAAAAUAUAAACUGCAAUUUCUUUUAUUUUUUCCCUUUCGAUGGUCUUUUUAAACGAGGAGUAAAGAUUUCAACGCCAGGUCCAUUUUCCAAAUUUUGUACCAGAACCUUGAGGAUGCUUGUCUCUCGCGCGCUUCUCCGCAGACCGAACCCUCUCCGGAACUCAGAGCUGUUCACCCAAGUCAGCGGAGGAGGCCUCCUGGGACUUGAGCCUGAGGGUGGCGAAGAACCCUAGGCAGAGAUCAUCAACUUGGUACCGAUGAGUGACGCGGAGCUUGAACAUUCCAGCGACUUGCUCCA
RNAcentral lists this long non-coding RNA (545 nucleotides) under Homo sapiens (human). Its description in RNAcentral is "HSALNT0100897". Lineage: Eukaryota; Metazoa; Chordata; Mammalia; Primates; Hominidae. The record is from RNAcentral.